Molecule: long non-coding RNA, 457 nt
Filed under: Homo sapiens (human)
Lineage: Eukaryota; Metazoa; Chordata; Mammalia; Primates; Hominidae
Description: HSALNT0406368
Source: RNAcentral
GGCAGCCCUCAGGUGGGAGCGAGUGGGAACGGACAGAGGUCUGGACCUGGGCCCUGCAGGUGGCUGGACCGCUGACGAUGAGGUCCGAGAGGCACACAGGAGUACCAUCUAAGGAUGAGACAGAAGUGAUGGAUGUACCAGUUCUGGGAGUGGUUUCAGUUGGUCUCUUUUGCUGUUGAGAAGAAAAUUCUUAUGCUACCCACUGGUCUCAGGAGGUGGAUGAGGGAUAUGCAGAAUUAAGUCACCAGCCAAGACCAGCCCCAAUCAGCCAACCCUAAGCCAAUUCCCAAAGGAAUGAGUAAGCCCAGCCAAGAUCAGCAGAGGCAUCCACUGAGCCCAGCCUCCGUCAGCCAAACUAUGACAAUCUGCAGCUCAUAAAAACACAUGAUUGUUUGAAGCCACUAAGUUCUAGGAUGGUUUGUUACAUAGGUUUUUUUUUGUGGCAAUUGCUAAUUGG